Molecule: long non-coding RNA, 272 nt
Filed under: Panax ginseng (ginseng)
Lineage: Eukaryota; Viridiplantae; Streptophyta; Magnoliopsida; Apiales; Araliaceae
Description: long non-coding RNA (PGIN_LNC002310)
Source: RNAcentral
AGACUUUGUGGCAAGGACAAACUAUUGAUUUACAUUAUUAUAAACAUGAAUUGUGAAUUUAACUAUAAUCUUUGGUGGUUCAGGUGAAGACAAGUGAUGAAAGUUCUCUUUGUCUUGGGUACAACAAAGAACUGUUGAUGGGUAUUACAGGGAUGAAAUAUUAAUGAUGGACUUUAAAGUUGGAGGAGAUAGUAGAUAUUAUGUUCUACUUGACUCUUCUAAUGGUUUGGUGUUUCUACUGCAGUUGUUGAUCUAAAACUUGUUGUCUAUUG